This is a long non-coding RNA of Manacus vitellinus (golden-collared manakin), 362 nucleotides long. RefSeq lists it as uncharacterized. Lineage: Eukaryota; Metazoa; Chordata; Aves; Passeriformes; Pipridae. The transcript is spliced from 2 exons. The record is from RefSeq and is a predicted model, not a curated record.
CACGAGGACGGCAGGCUACAACGCUGGGGAGACGGGAGCCGUCCCUAUUCUACCUAAGGCAGCUUUUAGCGGGAUUCUGAUGAAAUGUUUGUGUCCUCCAGACUGUUUAAAAUUCUGGGAGGAAUGUUCCAAAAAAGCUUUUCUGAUUUUGAGAGCUCCACGGAGAAAAGAAUCACAUGUGUACCUGAUUGCUUCCUUGGAUCAAUGUCUCAGCUCUUUAUAGGAUGCUCUAGUUCACGGAUAGCUGUGCAGACCUCCUGAAAGAGGUGGAUCUCAAAGAGCUGUGAUUCAUGCCAGAAUCAGACUUCACAUGCUGAAAAUGGAAAAGAGAAAUUAAAAGCCAAAUUUUUUUAAGUCUUCAA